This 232-nucleotide ribosomal RNA is filed under the name uncultured Enterobacterales bacterium. Its description in RNAcentral is "partial 16S ribosomal RNA". It matches the Rfam family "Bacterial small subunit ribosomal RNA", at positions 99 to 334 of the family's 1533-position model. Lineage: Bacteria; Pseudomonadati; Pseudomonadota; Gammaproteobacteria; Enterobacterales. The record is from RNAcentral.
CGGACGGGUGAGUAAUGUCUGGGAAGCUGCCUGAUGGAGGGGGAUAACUACUGGAAACGGUAGCUAAUACCGCAUAACGUCGCAAGACCAAAGAGGGGGACCUUCGGGCCUCUUGCCAUCGGAUGUGCCCAGAUGGGAUUAGCUAGUAGGUGGGGUAACGGCUCACCUAGGCGACGAUCCCUAGCUGGUCUGAGAGGAUGACCAGCCACACUGUAACUGAGACACGGUCCAG